This 76-nucleotide transfer RNA is filed under the name Alphaproteobacteria bacterium. RNAcentral's name for it is "tRNA-Ala". It matches the Rfam family "tRNA". From Rfam's summary of the family: Transfer RNA (tRNA) molecules are approximately 80 nucleotides in length. Their secondary structure includes four short double-helical elements and three loops (D, anti-codon, and T loops). RNAcentral also lists the same sequence under 2 other names. The record is from RNAcentral. Lineage: Bacteria; Pseudomonadati; Pseudomonadota; Alphaproteobacteria.
GGGGCCGUAGCUCAGCUGGGAGAGCGCGACGUUCGCAAUGUCGAGGUCAGGGGUUCGAUCCCCCUCGGCUCCACCA